Molecule: long non-coding RNA, 479 nt
Filed under: Bos taurus (domestic cattle)
Lineage: Eukaryota; Metazoa; Chordata; Mammalia; Artiodactyla; Bovidae
Description: long non-coding RNA NONBTAT018347
Source: RNAcentral
AACUUCUGACUUCUUCCACCUAAAACAAACUCGGAGCUCUAGUUUGCCUUGCAUUUAGCUUCUUUUUCGAAGCUGCACCUAUAAAUUAAAGUAGUUAUAUCCCCAGAGUGCUCACACUUUUAAAUAUUAAGGCAAAAGAGUAAAUAGACUCGCCCUCUUGGUCCUGAGCAUUCUCAAUGUAGAGCUCAAGACCUGCUCUCCAAUAAGAGAUGGACAUGGAAGCAAGAGAGGCUGGUGGGCUGAGGACAGAGAAGACACCGAGAAGUUACAAUGCAACUUGAGAAAUGUUAUAAGUCUCACAGUAGGGGUAUUUCAAAGAGAGUAGAAGUACUUGAAUCAGCCCGCCCCAUUUAUCCAACUCAAACAUCAAUAUUCUAGUGUAGGUUUUUAGGACCACUCUCCUGCUCUGCAACUAAGAGGCUUUCUCGUCUCAGCUUCUCCCAUUCCAGUCCUCUUGCAUAUCACUGACAACUUACUCU